AGAGUUUGAUCCUGGCUCAGAACGAACGCUGGCGGCAGGCCUAACACAUGCAAGUCGAACGCGACCUUCGGGUCGAGUGGCGCACGGGUGAGUAACGCGUGGGAAUCUGCCCUGUGGUACGGAAUAACAUCGGGAAACUGGUGCUAAUACCGUAUAUCCCCUGAGGGGGAAAGAUUUAUCGCCAUGGGAGGAGCCCGCGUAGGAUUAGCUAGUUGGUGAGGUAACGGCUCACCAAGGCGACGAUCCUUAGCUGGUCUGAGAGGAUGAUCAGCCACACUGGGACUGAGAUACGGCCCAGACUCCUACGGGAGGCAGCAGUGGGGAAUAUUGGACAAUGGGGGAAACCCUGAUCCAGCCAUGCCGCGUGUGUGAUGAAGGCCUUCGGGUUGUAAAGCACUUUCGCACGUGACGAUGAUGACGGUAACGUGAGAAGAAGCCCCGGCUAACUUCGUGCCAGCAGCCGCGGUAAUACGAAGGGGGCAAGCGUUGUUCGGAAUUACUGGGCGUAAAGGGCGCGUAGGCGGUGCACUAAGUCAGGCGUGAAAGCCCUGGGCUCAACCCGGGAAUUGCGCUUGAUACUGGUGCGCUUGAAUCCAGGAGCGGUUGGUGGAAUUCCCAGUGUAGAGGUGAAAUUCGUAGAGAUUGGGAAGAACACCGGUGGCGAAGGCGGCCAACUGGACUGGUAUUGACGCUGAGGCGCGAAAGCGUGGGGAGCAAACAGGAUUAGAUACCCUGGUAGUCG
This 742-nucleotide ribosomal RNA is filed under the name uncultured bacterium. RNAcentral's name for it is "bacterial SSU rRNA". It matches the Rfam family "Bacterial small subunit ribosomal RNA", at positions 8 to 796 of the family's 1533-position model. The record is from RNAcentral.